RNAcentral lists this small RNA (133 nucleotides) under Klebsiella pneumoniae. RNAcentral describes it as "RtT sRNA". It matches the Rfam family "RtT RNA". Rfam says of the family: This family represents a bacterial cis-regulatory element known as RtT RNA. RNAcentral also lists the same sequence under 1 other name. The record is from RNAcentral. Lineage: Bacteria; Pseudomonadati; Pseudomonadota; Gammaproteobacteria; Enterobacterales; Enterobacteriaceae.
UGUUUGCACUUAGCGGGAAGGGUAAGAACCUUCGACUAAGGUUCGACUCGAGCGCCAGCGAGAGAACGUUGCCGCAGGCAACGGCCCGAAGGGCGAGGAGCGAUAGCGACGAGUUAUCCUUCCCCCACCACUG